CUUAUGGGGAAAAAAAGUCUUUUUUGAGAUAACAAACAACAAGAACAUGGACAACAGACAUGGAUGGAUGGACAGACGGACUGAAGAGAAGAAGGAUGGACGGAGGUAAACUCAAAAUCGUUGCCACGAGAUGAAGGUACAAAAGGUUUCUUUCAAAAUAAAAGAAAGUAUAAAAACAAAAACUCAGCAACUUCUCCAGUUACUUUGUUUCUAAAAGAUUAAUGGAUGCAAACAAUUCAUCAUCGUCGUCAUGUCUUAUUAAUAAAAGCAAACAUUCUGAAUCUGUUUCGCCAUCAUAACUCUGCAGAGUUAAAAAGACGUGCCAACACUGAGAGACCCUCAAAUAUAACAUGGAGGCUUUUAGGACCCCUGGGAGCAGGUGGAGAUCAGUGCACUGUCUUUCUUUCACUUUCUUUUUUAAACACCGGGAGGUCAAACAAAGGGCAGCACGAGUGAAGACAGACGCGCAUUGUUUGAGGUGUGUAUUAAGCUAAACAUUACUUUAAAAUCAUGUAGCAUGUUGCUCAAAGAGGAAGUAACAGGUCGUAAAUAAUUCAACACAUGACAGAGAGCAGCGAACUGAACGACACUCUAAAUUUAAAUGAGAAAACCUUCAGUACAUGAUCAAUUGUUACCGACAUACAAGAAUCACCAGAAUGUGUCCUCAUGGUGUUCUUAUGGGAAAAAAAAGUAUUUUUUGAGAUAACAAACAACAAGAACAAGGACAACAGACAUGGACGGAUGGACAGACGGACUGAAGAGAAGAAGGAUGGACGGAGGUAAACUCAAAAUCGUUGCCACGAGAUGAAGUUACCAACAAUGGCCGACCACAUCACAGACCUGUAUGUGUCCCACUGUGAGGCUGAUGAGCAGUACCUCCAGUCACGAGGCUUCAAGAAAGUCAACGUUGAUCUGAACAAAGGGGUCGGAGGAAACUUCAUCUAUAUUUGGUACAGAAAACAAUCCGGCCACGCACCAAUCACCAAGAUUCAAUUAACAUUCAACGAUGAGAUGGCUCGUGGAUUGGACAGGGUCGGUUACACCAAGAUUGAUAAAGACCUCAGCGCUGGAGCGGGAGGUGAUUACAUCUACCUUUGGUACUACAGAGGCUCUGGAGAGUUCAACACUCCUAUAGUGGACAUUUACGUCACUACAGUUGCAGAAAGUGAGGUCUGCAUGCUUCGUAACAGUUGGGAGAGACUGACCUGUGAUCUGAACCGUAAUUCUAAAGGGAACUGGAUCCACGUCUGGGUGAAGAGAGAACGUCAGACAUACAUCUGUGAUGUCGCUGCCACUGAUUCCUUCUCAUCAGACGAGCAGAUGUUGAGGGCUGGUUACAUCCGAAUGGAUGAAGAUACCAGCAGGGGUGGCAAAGGAUCCUUUGUAUUCAUCUGGUACCGUCAGACCAUCAACCCCCAGCGUGCACUCACUGACCUGCAGGUGUCCACCAAUGGCAGCGAGCGUCAGGUCCUCGCACAGCGAAAUUACCAGAAAGUGAACGUUAACCUCAACGAGGGGACCGACGGCAGCGCAGUGUACCUGUGGUACAAGACAGGUGAGAGCGACAACCCCAUUAAGGCCACCGUCCUGCUUCUCAACCCAGAAGCUGUUAAGGAGCAUGAGAAUGCCGGUGUCAAUGUUCUCAAAAGAAAUCUCAACACAGGCAACAAAGGCUGGACUGAGUACCUGUGUUUCUAUCAGUGA
Long non-coding RNA from Sparus aurata (gilthead seabream), 1704 nucleotides. Lineage: Eukaryota; Metazoa; Chordata; Actinopteri; Spariformes; Sparidae. The record is from Ensembl.